GAUGAACGCUAGCUACAGGCUUAACACAUGCAAGUCGAGGGGCAGCAUGGUCUUAGCUUGCUAAGGCCGAUGGCGACCGGCGCACGGGUGAGUAACACGUAUCCAACCUGCCGUCUACUCUUGGACAGCCUUCUGAAAGGAAGAUUAAUACAAGAUGGCAUCAUGAGUUCACAUGUUCACAUGAUUAAAGGUAUUCCGGUAGACGAUGGGGAUGCGUUCCAUUAGAUAGUAGGCGGGGUAACGGCCCACCUAGUCUUCGAUGGAUAGGGGUUCUGAGAGGAAGGUCCCCCACACUGGUACUGAGACACGGACCAGACUCCUACGGGAGGCAGCAGUGAGGAAUAUUGGUCAAUGGGCGAGAGCCUGAACCAGCCAAAUCGCGUGAAGGAUGAAGGUAUUAUGUAUUGUAAACUUCUUUUACAGGGGAAUAAAGUGCGGGACGUGUCCCGUUUUGUAUGUACCCUGAGAAUAAGGAUCGGCUAACUCCGUGCCAGC
RNAcentral lists this ribosomal RNA (495 nucleotides) under uncultured bacterium. RNAcentral's name for it is "bacterial SSU rRNA". It matches the Rfam family "Bacterial small subunit ribosomal RNA", at positions 28 to 512 of the family's 1533-position model. The record is from RNAcentral.